Long non-coding RNA from Aptenodytes forsteri (emperor penguin), 566 nucleotides. RefSeq lists it as uncharacterized. The transcript has 2 exons. Lineage: Eukaryota; Metazoa; Chordata; Aves; Sphenisciformes; Spheniscidae. The record is from RefSeq and is a predicted model, not a curated record.
CCGCGGGGCCGUUGGCCGCAGCCAGGUGAGGGGCCCAGGGCUCCCGAGCGGCCUGGCGCGGACGGACGAGGACAGCUGGGAACAUGGAUCAGAAGACGAUGAGAUCAGCAGCCCUCAAGACAGGAGAAAUUUGCAAGUUGCAGCUGUAAGAGUUUGGUGGUGCUGAGCACCUGCAGUUGCCCCACGGUGUAAUUCCCAGCUGGCAGCCUCGGAUUCUGCUCGCUGGAAUUGCCCGUCUUGUCUCUCCUCUGCCAGUUCAGGCACGUCGGUCAAAAUGAGGCCACUGGGCUCUGUCUCUAGAGCAGUGUCAUGAAAAAUUUGUCCCAUUCUCAAUCUGAAGCAACCCAUUGACAGCCAUAGGAUUCCUGCUACACCUAAAAAGUACUGACAUCCCCAAAGCUCUUACCAUCUUUGCCAGAAAAAUAAAAAACCAUAACCCAACCUGUUCCUGUAAGGAGACCAGCAGCAUCCAUGUAACACCCCGGCUGAAAGAAUUAACCCUCUCUUCUAUUAUUUGCUCUAUUAAUGGUGAUUUGUUUAAACAUUGGAUUUAAUUCCCUAAGAAG